CGCUCAUCCAGAGGGGCAGAGGGAUACGGCCCGUUGAAGCCCCGGCAACCACCCAGUCGGUCUCGUACGCGAUCCAUCGGAUCCGGCGUCGCGGGGCUCCCGGCUAGGGAAGGUGCCAAUUCCGUCUCGCGGCGAGAUGCGUCGCGAGGAAGAUGAGGA
This 159-nucleotide non-coding RNA is filed under the name Streptomyces silvensis. RNAcentral's name for it is "SAM-I sequence". It matches the Rfam family "SAM riboswitch aptamer (S box leader)". Rfam says of the family: The SAM riboswitch is found upstream of a number of genes which code for proteins involved in methionine or cysteine biosynthesis in Gram-positive bacteria. The SAM riboswitch acts at the level of transcription termination control. Lineage: Bacteria; Bacillati; Actinomycetota; Actinomycetes; Kitasatosporales; Streptomycetaceae. The record is from Rfam by way of RNAcentral.